Molecule: long non-coding RNA, 476 nt
Organism: Mastomys coucha (southern multimammate mouse)
Lineage: Eukaryota; Metazoa; Chordata; Mammalia; Rodentia; Muridae
Exons: 3
Source: RefSeq, a predicted model, not a curated record
CCCCGCCUCUUGGGCGACUCCGGUGCGCCUUAAAGGCGCAGGGUUCCCCAGCUAUUUCUCUCUGCAUGCUCAGUACAGCCAAGAGGAGCACAGGAUGUGGUAUUCUGCUCAGGGCUGCUGAAUAAACCGACAUCUGGUCGUCUAGGUAGCAGUUCAAAGGACUGAAACGAAGCGGGAACAGAGUGUUGGAGCAGCAACUUCUAAUGUCCAGUAAUAAAAGCAUGAUUCCCCUCUCAGUGUAGAGAAGAAACUGUCUCCUGGGAAACUUCAAAUCUGCUUGAACAAGAAUACCACCCGAGGCUCAGAAUUUGUGACUCAACUGGAGCUGUCACUUGACCUCCAUUUAAUAAAGAGAUUUACACACGUGCAACAAUUAAAUGUUUCAACUUGAAAGAUGGAAGAAGGUCCCCUUAGCUCAGAUUAAUGAUUUGGUGCAAGUGAAAUAAAGUGCUUUCUGACAGCUUGUGUACAGAAAA